CACUGUAAAUGCUAACAUUCAAAUUAAUUAAAUGUGAUAAGUGAACUAAACUCAAUUUUCAUCAACCUGUUGUGAACACUACUUUUAAAUAAGUAAGUAGUAAUUUGGGGUUGGAGAACUUGCUUAACUUGAUAUAUCCCAGUUAAGUCAAAUUAGAAAAAAUAAUUUCUUGUACCCAGUGUCCUUUGGGCGUUCUAUCAGACAUGCGCAGAUCUGCCCUGCCCACUUUCGCGCUCUUUCCAACACCUUUCUCAGUUAUUUUCGCCAUUGUGGGUUUACUUGUCCUCAGCACACUGAUUUGGUAAGUACAUAUUUUACUCUUUUGUAAACCGUCGAUUUGUCUUGUUGUAGUGUAGUAGCCUGUGUGCUGCCAGGGAGGAGAAGUGUCAAUUACAUCAAAUAUCACCGCUAGCAAGCAUGCUAUAUGACCGUGACAGGAACCUCAUCAUUUUCAGAAACAAAUGUAGACUACAGUUUAUGGUAGACUCCCAUUUUAUGCCGGCCGGCGUUUUGAAUUCUUGACAGACGGGGCUCGUAACGUUUUUAGGCGAUGGGAGAGGUUUUUAAAACCGAUUUAAAACAGUUACCGAGCGGUUUUAAGUUAGCUAGACCGAGGGGAGGUUCGCUUCCUGUUUUAAAAAUAAAAACACUAAUUCUAUCGUUGGCGGGUGUUUUAUUUUGUGAAACUAACAGGAAGUGCCUUAAUCACUACGGCUAGCUUGAGUAGCGCCGAAUUUGCACGUUGUGGAUCUAAACGGCUACUUUCUCACGUAAAAAUGUUAGAAAUGUCGAUAAAGUGAUUUAUUUACAGAGUUAGUGCUAGAAUUAAGUCAGCUUCAGCCUUUCUAUUUCGGCUCAGGUAAGAGCUAAAUGCACAGUCAGACCUUAUGUGCGCCAACGUAAUCGGUUCUUGCGUUGGAGCAGGGGUCCCCAAACUACGGCCCGCGGGCCGGCCGGAUACGGCCCGCCUCCACAAUUGGUCCGGCCCCCUGAACCCCCCCAAUAGUGUUAUUAUUUCCUGGCUUUUUUCUGUGAAGAACCCAGACAGGGUUAUUUGGUUAUUAUCUAUUUAAUUAAUUGUGUUAUUAUUAUUCAUUAUUAUAUGAUAUUAUAUUAUGUUAUAAUUAUUUUUAUUUUAUUUUGUUCCAAGAAGAAUUCAGAAAGGGUUAUUUAAUUAUGGCUUUCUGAAAAACAAUAAUUUUUUUACAUUUAGGCACUGCUGCAAUCGUCACACUUUUUCUGUUACAAACUGACCCGGCCCCUCAUCAGAGAAGGGAAAAGUCAUGUGGCCUUCAUAGGAAAAGGUUUGGGGACCCCUGCUUUAGAGUGUUUGUCAUCUGCCCUUCCAUUUGCUUUUCUUCAUGUGCAGUGCUCCCCCUCCAUGUUUGAUCAAACUGCACUGAUAAUUUGAAAUUGUUUUAAAAUGCAUUAAUCGCAAAAAUCAGAGGACUAGACCACAUUUCCCCCUGUUAUUUCACCACUUUAACUUUGGUCUAACCUAAUAUAGGAAUACAGAUAGAAAGAGUGCAGAGAUCACACUCGACGCCAUAACAACCUGGUGUGUUUAAGGCUGAAGCAAAUGGUCAAAAGUCCACACAUACCUCAGUCUCAGCAAUUACAGGUCAACCAAAGCAGUAUUCUCUAAUGCAGUGGACUUGCAAGUACUGCACAUUUUCUGCUGAAAAGAGCCUACUUGCUUAAGCAUUACCGCUUAAAACAUGGAUACCACACUCGGACAUCCCUACUCCCAUGUCUUCAUAAGGACUGCCUCUGCACAUUUAAAUCUUUUAAUGCACUCAAAGUACACCUAUCGACAUGGCACUCUCAAAAAGAUGCAGGCAAAAGUGGAGAAACUGCAUUUGACCGUCAGUUGUGCAACUUUGUGGAGCCCUGCUCAGAAGCAGACUUCUUUACCCAUUUGCGAGGACAUCUUAAGCUGAGGCAAAUGGUUACUUGCCCAUAUCAAGACUAACUUUCAGAGCAGUAUUUAUUCGACCUUCACUGCACACAAAAGCAAAGAAAUGUGAAAUGUGUUUGAGCCAUAGUGUGGGUAGGACAUUUGUGUCUAAAUCAUUCAAUCCCAAUAAAAGUUGCUUUAAUAAAAAAAAACUUAUUUUUAAUCAAAGAAAAAGAACCUUUUGCAAAAAUAUAUUUUUUUGAAAAUAUAUAUAUUUUUAAAUAUAUAUAUUUUUUAUU
Corythoichthys intestinalis (scribbled pipefish) is the source of this 2196-nucleotide long non-coding RNA. RefSeq lists it as uncharacterized. The transcript has 3 exons. NCBI's taxonomy places the organism in Eukaryota, Metazoa, Chordata, Actinopteri, Syngnathiformes, Syngnathidae. The record is from RefSeq and is a predicted model, not a curated record.